RNAcentral lists this ribosomal RNA (301 nucleotides) under uncultured bacterium. Its description in RNAcentral is "partial 16S ribosomal RNA". It matches the Rfam family "Bacterial small subunit ribosomal RNA", at positions 509 to 809 of the family's 1533-position model. The record is from RNAcentral.
CAGUAGCCACGGGAAUACGUAGGUGGCAAGCGUUGUCCGGAAUUAUUGGGCGUAAAGGGCUCGCAGGCGGUUUCUUAAGUCUGAUGUGAAAGCCCCCGGCUCAACCGGGGAGGGUCAUUGGAAACUGGGAAACUUGAGUGCAGAAGAGGAGAGUGGAAUUCCACGUGUAGCGGUGAAAUGCGUAGAGAUGUGGAGGAACACCAGUGGCGAAGGCGACUCUCUGGUCUGUAACUGACGCUGAGGAGCGAAAGCGUGGGGAGCGAACAGGAUUAGAUACCCCCGUAGUCCCUGUCUCUUAUCC